AGUGAACGCUGGCGGUAGGCCUAACACAUGCAAGUCGAACGGCAGCACAGUAAGAGCUUGCUCUUACGGGUGGCGAGUGGCGGACGGGUGAGAAAUACAUCGGAAUCUACUUUUUCGUGGGGGAUAACGUAGGGAAACUUACGCUAAUACCGCAUACGACCUACGGGUGAAAGCAGGGGAUCUUCGGACCUUGCGCGAUUGAAUGAGCCGGUGUCGGAUUAGCUAGUUGGCGGGGUAAAGGCCCACCAAGGCGACGAUCCGUAGCUGGUCUGAGAGGAUGAUCAGCCACACUGGAACUGAGACACGGUCCAGACUCCUACGGGAGGCAGCAGUGGGGAAUAUUGGACAAUGGGCGCAAGCCUGAUCCAGCCAUACCGCGUGGGUGAAGAAGGCCUUCGGGUUGUAAAGCCCUUUUGUUGGGAAAGAAAAGCAGCAGGUUAAUACCCCGCUGUUCUGACGGUACCCAAAGAAUAAGCACCGGCUAACUUCGUG
Molecule: ribosomal RNA, 492 nt
Filed under: uncultured bacterium
Lineage: Bacteria
Description: partial 16S ribosomal RNA
Rfam family: Bacterial small subunit ribosomal RNA
Source: RNAcentral